GUAAGAUGGGCUCGCGUCUGAUUAGCUAGUUGGAAGGGUAAAGGCCUACCAAGGCAACGAUCAGUAGCCGGUCUGAGAGGAUGAACGGCCACAUUGGAACUGAGACACGGUCCAAACUCCUACGGGAGGCAGCAGUGGGGAAUAUUGCACAAUGGGGGGAACCCUGAUGCAGG
RNAcentral lists this ribosomal RNA (173 nucleotides) under Parvimonas micra. Its description in RNAcentral is "partial 16S ribosomal RNA". It matches the Rfam family "Bacterial small subunit ribosomal RNA", at positions 220 to 391 of the family's 1533-position model. Lineage: Bacteria; Bacillati; Bacillota; Tissierellia; Tissierellales; Peptoniphilaceae. The record is from RNAcentral.